UACGUAGGGGGCAAGCGUUGUCCGGAAUCAUUGGGCGUAAAGCGCGCGUAGGCGGCCCGGUAAGUCCGCUGUAAAAGUCCAGGGCUCAACCCUGGAAAGCCGGUGGAUACUGUCGGGCUAGAGUCCGGAAGAGGCGAGUGGAAUUCCCGGUGUAGUGGUGAAAUGCGCAGAUAUCGGGAAGAACACCCGUGGCGAAGGCGGCUCUCUGGGACGGUACUGACGCUGAGACGCGAAAGCGUGGGAAGCGAACAGG
RNAcentral lists this ribosomal RNA (253 nucleotides) under uncultured bacterium. RNAcentral's name for it is "partial 16S ribosomal RNA". It matches the Rfam family "Bacterial small subunit ribosomal RNA", at positions 524 to 776 of the family's 1533-position model. The record is from RNAcentral.